GGCCUCGUGGCCUAAUGGCUAGGGCGCUAGAUUUCGGUUUCCCAAUUCUGAUUCUCUAGAGAUUGUCGGUUCGAGUCCGGCCGAGGUCG
Molecule: transfer RNA, 89 nt
Filed under: Xylaria digitata
Lineage: Eukaryota; Fungi; Ascomycota; Sordariomycetes; Xylariales; Xylariaceae
Also listed under: 1 other name
Description: tRNA-Arg
Rfam family: tRNA
About the family: Transfer RNA (tRNA) molecules are approximately 80 nucleotides in length.
Source: RNAcentral